CCGCCUGGGGAGUACGGCCGCAAGGUUAAAACUCAAAUGAAUUGACGGGGGCCCGCACAAGCGGUGGAGCAUGUGGUUUAAUUCGAUGCAACGCGAAGAACCUUACCUGGUCUUGACAUCCACAGAACUUUCCAGAGAUGGAUUGGUGCCUUCGGGAACUGUGAGACAGGUGCUGCAUGGCUGUCGUCAGCUCGUGUUGUGAAAUGUUGGGUUAAGUCCCGCAACGAGCGCAACCCUUAUCCUUUGUUGCCAGCGAUUAGGUCGGGAACUCAAAGGAGACUGCCAGUGAUAAACUGGAGGAAGGUGGGGAUGACGUCAAGUCAUCAUGGCCCUUACGACCAGGGCUACACACGUGCUACAAUGGCGCAUACAAAGAGAAGCGACCUCGCGAGAGCAAGCGGACCUCAUAAAGUGCGUCGUAGUCCGGAUUGGAGUCUGCAACUCGACUCCAUGAAGUCGGAAUCGCUAGUAAUCGUGGAUCAGAAUGCCACGGUGAAUACGUUCCCGGGCCUUGUACACACCGCCCGUCACACCAUGGGAGUGGGUUGCAAAAGAAGUAGGUAGCUUAACCUUCGGGAGGGCGCUUACCACUUUGUGAUUCAUGACUGGGGUGAAGUCGUAACAAGGUAACCGUAGGGGAACCUGCGGUUGGAUCACCUCCUUACCUUAAAGAAGC
This 676-nucleotide ribosomal RNA is filed under the name Salmonella enterica subsp. enterica serovar Newport. RNAcentral's name for it is "bacterial SSU rRNA". It matches the Rfam family "Bacterial small subunit ribosomal RNA", at positions 869 to 1533 of the family's 1533-position model. Lineage: Bacteria; Pseudomonadati; Pseudomonadota; Gammaproteobacteria; Enterobacterales; Enterobacteriaceae. The record is from RNAcentral.